ACCCCUCUUCCUCCUCCCGCGCGCCGCGCUCUCUUCCUCCGCCCCCGCUGCUGGUCCUUCGCGCCCUCCCACUGCCUUCCACCGUAGCCCCUCGUUGACCAAGGAUGCGGGUGCGGCCGCAUCCUCGUAGGGCUCCCUCCCCACGAGUGGCGUGUUGGGCUGGGGAGACCUACGCGUUGUGGGUUGCGGUGGCUCCCCUUCGUCUACAGAGCGAGGCGGCGGGGGACAGGGCGCCGCCGCUCCCCUUCGUCGCGACGAGCAGGCGGUAAAGCGGGUGGUGCUAGUGCGGCACGGGCAGAGCCCUCCUCUUCCUAAGCAGACUCACGAAUUGAUUUGCUUUUUUUUUCAGAUUGCAGAUCCACGAAUUAAUUUGCUUUCUUUUUUUUCCAGAUUUGCUGGCCUGCAGUAGCUGUCCUGUUGGAUCAAGCCCCAGGCGGACUGUGUUUGGUUUGUUCGGUCCACAGCAGCAGCGCAUCUCCCUCAGGCCUAGCUCUGGGGCAUGACGAGAGGGGUCUAAAAUGUUGUUAACUUGUGCUGAUCUGCUAGCUCUGAGUAACAGGAUGAGCAACAAGAUGUGCAGGAGUUAGCUAUGCUCCUUUCCAGUGAAAGAUAUGCAACUAACGGUCCAUUGGAUCCUAAAUUUUGCUCGUCUGGUGGAAUUGCUUCAAAAUUUUGCUCUUCUAGUGGUAUUUGGUGAUGUUGUAUGAUCUUUUCUUGAGCAUUUGUUGUAUGAAAAAAAUGAGAUUCUGUCAUUAGUGUGCUACUGGAUAAAAACAUGUGAUGUGAUUUUGUAUAAAAUUCUGUAUUGGUAGUGUUGAUUAUAUAGGCUUUAUAUCUUUUAUUGGGCUAGAAAAGUAAUUCUGAAAA
This is a long non-coding RNA of Panicum virgatum (switchgrass), 867 nucleotides long. RefSeq lists it as uncharacterized. Lineage: Eukaryota; Viridiplantae; Streptophyta; Magnoliopsida; Poales; Poaceae. The transcript has 4 exons. The record is from RefSeq and is a predicted model, not a curated record.